This 138-nucleotide ribosomal RNA is filed under the name uncultured bacterium. Its description in RNAcentral is "partial 16S ribosomal RNA". It matches the Rfam family "Bacterial small subunit ribosomal RNA", at positions 355 to 509 of the family's 1533-position model. The record is from RNAcentral.
UGGGGAAUAUUGCACAAUGGGGGAAACCCGUGAUGCAGCGACGCCGCGUGAGUGAAGAAGUAUUUCGGUAUGUAAAGCUCUAUCAGCAGGGAAGAAAAUGACGGUACCUGAUUAAGAAGCCCCGGCUAACUACGUGCC